Molecule: signal recognition particle RNA, 94 nt
Filed under: Coriobacteriia bacterium
Lineage: Bacteria; Bacillati; Actinomycetota; Coriobacteriia
Also listed under: 1 other name
Description: signal recognition particle sRNA small type
Rfam family: Bacterial small signal recognition particle RNA
About the family: The signal recognition particle (SRP) is a universally conserved ribonucleoprotein involved in the co-translational targeting of proteins to membranes. Archaeal SRP consists of a 7S RNA and homologues of the eukaryotic SRP19 and SRP54 proteins. In most bacteria, the SRP consists of a 4.5S RNA and the Ffh protein (a homologue of the eukaryotic SRP54 protein).
Source: RNAcentral
AGUUGGGCUAAGGCGGCAACACGCCUUGAACCUGGUCAGGCCAGAGAUGGAGCAGCCAUAAGGGGCCUCUGAUGAGCGUUUUAGCCCAUUUUUU